AACGAACGCUGGCGGCAGGCUUAACACAUGCAAGUCGAGCGCCCCGCAAGGGGAGCGGCAGACGGGUGAGUAACGCGUGGGAACGUGCCCUUUGGUUCGGAACAACUCCGGGAAACUGGAGCUAAUACCGGAUAAGCCCUUCGGGGGAAAGAUUUAUCGCCAAAGGAUCGGCCCGCGUCUGAUUAGCUAGUUGGUGGGGUAAUGGCCCACCAAGGCGACGAUCAGUAGCUGGUCUGAGAGGAUGAUCAGCCACACUGGGACUGAGACACGGCCCAGACUCCUACGGGAGGCAGCAGUGGGGAAUAUUGGACAAUGGGCGCAAGCCUGAUCCAGCCAUGCCGCGUGAGUGAUGAAGGCCUUAGGGUUGUAAAGCUCUUUUGUCCGGGAAGAUAAUGACUGUACCGGAAGAAUAAGCCCCGGCUAACUUCGUGCCAGCCGCCGCCGUAA
RNAcentral lists this ribosomal RNA (447 nucleotides) under uncultured bacterium. Its description in RNAcentral is "partial 16S ribosomal RNA". It matches the Rfam family "Bacterial small subunit ribosomal RNA", at positions 29 to 523 of the family's 1533-position model. The record is from RNAcentral.